AGCAUGCUGUGUGUCGGUGGUGAAAGACAUGGGUAGUGAGACGUUAGAAUUUCAAGGUCGUAUCACUAUUCUGUUUUUCGCCUCGUAUCAC
RNAcentral lists this microRNA precursor (91 nucleotides) under Brugia malayi. Its description in RNAcentral is "microRNA bma-mir-71 precursor". Its record names the gene bma-mir-71. The stretch from base 15 to 87 matches the Rfam family "mir-71 microRNA precursor family". The record is from miRBase by way of RNAcentral. Lineage: Eukaryota; Metazoa; Nematoda; Chromadorea; Rhabditida; Onchocercidae.